CCAUCUACGGUCACCUGGAACCACCUGGAGUUCAAUGGGACCACCCCAGGGGGGCUCAGCCCCUCCUGCUCCUCCUGCACCUCCAGGAACUCCAGCUCCUGCUGCAGCUUCUGGGAUGGACAGGUGUGCCCAGGUGAGCUCAGGUAUCAUCUACAGUCACCUGGAACCAUCUACGGUCACCUGGAGUUCAAUGGG
This is a long non-coding RNA of Myiozetetes cayanensis, 195 nucleotides long. RefSeq lists it as uncharacterized. The transcript is spliced from 3 exons. Lineage: Eukaryota; Metazoa; Chordata; Aves; Passeriformes; Tyrannidae. The record is from RefSeq and is a predicted model, not a curated record.